CGUUCCCCUUCUCCGGCUCCGGCGGGCCGGCUUCACUGUCCAAUGCCCACCCGGAGCUGGGAGGAGGAGCCUGCGUAGUGUGCGUGUAAAGGGAGGGGGGAGCGGGCUGGGGCCCACGGUGUUUGACCCGUCGGUCGGUGAGUAAGACGAAAAGGAAGGAGGAGGUCCACAGUAGCGGUUGCCGAAAUGUUCCGGUGUGGAGGCCUUGCGGCGGGUGCUUUGAAGCAGAAGCUGGUGCCCUUGGUGCGGACCGUGUGCGUCCGAAGCCCGAGGCAGAGGAACCGGCUCCCAGGCAACUUGUUCCAGCGAUGGCAUGUUCCUCUAGAACUCCAGAUGACAAGACAAAUGGCUAGCUCUGGUGCAUCAGGGGGCAAAAUCGAUAAUUCUGUGUUAGUCCUUAUUGUGGGCUUGUCAACAAUAGGAGCUGGUGCAUAUGCCUACAAGACUAUAAAAGAUGACAAAAAAAGAUACAAUGAAAGAAUAUCAGGGUUAGGGCUGACACCAGAAGAGAAACAGAAAAGGGCUGCAUCAUCUGCUGCAGAAGGAGAGCCAGUUUCUCAAGUCAGGGUACCAAGUCAUGUUCCUUUCCUACUAAUCGGUGGAGGCACUGCUGCUUUUGCUGCAGCUAGAUCCAUCCGGGCUCGAGAUCCUGGAGCCAGGGUACUGAUUAUAUCUGAAGAUCCUGAGCUGCCAUACAUGCGACCUCCUCUUUCAAAAGAAUUAUGGUUUUCAGAUGAUCCAAAUGUCACAAAGACACUGCGAUUCAGACAGUGGAAUGGAAAAGAGAGAAGCAUAUAUUUCCAGCCACCUUCUUUCUAUGUCUCUGCUCAGGACCUACCUCACAUUGAGAAUGGUGGUGUGGCUGUCCUCACUGGAAAGAAGGUAGUACAGCUGGAUGUGAGAGACAACAUGGUGAAACUUAAUGAUGGCUCUCAAAUAACCUAUGAAAAGUGCUUGAUUGCAACAGGAGGCACUCCAAGAAGUCUGUCUGCCAUUGAUAGGGCUGGGGCAGAGGUGAAGAGCAGAACAACACUUUUCAGAAAGAUUGGAGACUUUAGAGCCUUGGAGAAGAUUUCACGGGAAGUCAAGUCAAUUACGAUUAUUGGUGGGGGCUUCCUUGGCAGCGAACUGGCCUGUGCUCUUGGCAGAAAAGCUCAAGCCUUGGGCACAGAAGUGAUUCAACUCUUCCCUGAGAAAGGAAAUAUGGGAAAGAUCCUCCCUGAAUACCUCAGCAACUGGACCAUGGAAAAAGUCAGACGAGAGGGGGUUAAGGUGAUGCCCAAUGCCAUUGUGCAAUCAGUGGGAGUCAGCGGUGGCAAGUUACUCAUCAAGCUAAAAGACGGCAGGAAGGUAGAAACUGACCACAUCGUGGCAGCUGUGGGCCUGGAGCCCAAUGUUGAGUUGGCCAAGACUGGUGGGCUGGAAAUAGACUCAGAUUUUGGUGGCUUCCGGGUAAAUGCAGAGCUACAAGCACGCUCUAACAUCUGGGUGGCAGGAGAUGCUGCAUGCUUCUACGACAUAAAGUUGGGGAGGAGGCGGGUAGAGCACCACGAUCACGCUGUUGUGAGCGGAAGAUUGGCUGGAGAAAAUAUGACCGGAGCUGCUAAGCCAUACUGGCAUCAGUCAAUGUUCUGGAGUGAUUUGGGUCCUGAUGUUGGCUAUGAAGCUAUUGGUCUUGUGGACAGUAGUUUGCCCACAGUCGGUGUUUUUGCAAAAGCAACUGCACAAGACAACCCAAAAUCUGCCACGGAGCAGUCAGGGACUGGUAUCCGAUCAGAGAGUGAGACAGAAUCCGAGGCCUCAGAAAUUGCUAUUCCUCCCAGCACUCCUGCAGUUCCACAGGCCCCUGUCCAAGGGGAGGACUACGGCAAAGGUGUCAUCUUCUACCUCAGGGACAAAGUGGUCGUGGGGAUCGUGCUAUGGAACAUCUUUAACAGAAUGCCAAUAGCAAGGAAGAUCAUUAAGGACGGUGAGCAACAUGAAGAUCUCAAUGAAGUAGCCAAACUAUUCAAUAUUCACGAAGACUGAAGCCCCACUGUGGAACAGGCAAGCUCAUCACUGUCCCUGAUAGCUGGCUGGAUGGGGCCUGUUUUGGAGACAAGAGGCUUAAAACAGAAAGGGAUGGGGGUGGGCAUCCACGGUGACCUACUGCAGGCUGCUUCCUUGAAGGAAAAUCAGCAGCUUCUCAAGAGACCCAUUUAUACAAAGGAACUCUCCCCUCCCUUCCACCACUACCCCUUCCCUUUCCCGCUCCUCUCAAGAUUGGCUGCUGCGAUAUCCCGUCUGUACGUCCUUCCCUGACUCCACCUAAAGCUGGGCACCCCUGCUGCCCUGGAGAUUGUUGGGAGUCGAUCCCAGUGCCUUGCUUUCUGGGCAGAGGGGAAGUCCUGCUGGGCCCAGAGGUGAAGUAGGACUGCCUCUGGCCUCUUUCCCAUCUUAUCAGGGAAUUUCUGGCGGGCACAGACACACACAGCCCAAGCCAGUGAUGACGUCCCCCUGCCUGGCUGGUUCUACAGAUGGGUGUGACUAGGUCAGAGUACAGGGAGGGUCUAAAUAUUUAGACACUGGACUGCCAAGCCCUUGUUGGAAACCAGGGAUCAUCUCAAAAUGAACAUUUGGAGAAAGAAAAGCAGCCCCUGACAUCCCAAAGCUGGCCUGGUACUGUUGGCAAGGCCUUGGUGUGGCUACCAACUGGCCUAGCACUCACAGCUAUGUCUGGGUGUUCUGUUGAACAUAGAUUCACAGGACAUCAGCAUCAUGCAAGGCCACUGUGUCACCAUGGUGAGUUGAGACAAAAACAAGACUACUCCAUAAUCAUGUGAACAUGGACAAAAGCAUGAACACUGCCCAAACCUCACAAAUAACCAAACACCCCCCCAUCCUGGCUAGUCUGAGUGACUGCUCUUCCUUACUAAUCACAGCUUUUGCCUUGCUGUAGUCCGCCCUCCUAUUGGAUAAGAUUUAUUUAAUAAGGUACCCAAUCCAAUCAUAGAAUUACCCCUGCUUUCUGGCAGUGUCCAAUCCAGAGUAAAGCCUGGCUUCCUUAAACCCUCCCCCAAGUCCCCCAACCUAACUAGAAUCCUAUAACAAGUCCUUUCUAGAACCCUCUUCCUGAGAUACCCCAUGGUUCCCCACAGGGUACCUUCUCCU
This is an RNA transcript of Propithecus coquereli (Coquerel's sifaka), 3150 nucleotides long. It is a transcript of the gene named apoptosis-inducing factor, mitochondrion-associated, 1, with no coding region annotated. The transcript is spliced from 17 exons. The record is from RefSeq and is a predicted model, not a curated record. NCBI's taxonomy places the organism in Eukaryota, Metazoa, Chordata, Mammalia, Primates, Indriidae.